This is an RNA transcript of Fragaria vesca subsp. vesca, 1727 nucleotides long. RefSeq lists it as uncharacterized. The transcript has 3 exons. The record is from RefSeq and is a predicted model, not a curated record. NCBI's taxonomy places the organism in Eukaryota, Viridiplantae, Streptophyta, Magnoliopsida, Rosales, Rosaceae.
UAUACUAUUCUUUCUUCUUCUUCUUCUUCUUCUCCUUCUCAUCUCCUUCGAAUGAUCAUUCUCAUACCAAACAGAAUAAAAAUCAGUCCUUCAGUCUCUUGGCUUUAAGUGGAUCGGAUCUACCACUUUCUUCUAACCUAAGAUCCCCAAUUUCAAAACCCUAACAUCUUCCGAUCUCCCUUCAGCACCACGGCCAGAUUUUGAGAGUCAAGAUCAAAUCACCAAUGGGUCCUAUAUUUCCAAGUUCACUUGGACAAUACCAACUCGUCUACUCCUCCUUGUACUCCCUAAACCAUCCAGCCCUUCGACGAAUAAUCUUUCACUUCGAUCUUUUUGAUUUCUUCUCUUCUUAAUUUCUACCAAUUUCCUCUAAUCCAAGAUCCCUAUUAUGCCAUUCGAAACCCUAAGCUCUCCUGAUCUCCUUCAGCAUCUAUGGCUACCGAAUUUAGAGAGUGGAGCAUUGAUAGAGAUCUGGAGAGAGAGAGAGAGAGAGAGAGUGAAUAAGGCCGCUUCGAUUCCACACGCAGGUGGCUAUUGUGUAUCGGAGCAGUGGUAGAUGUUGAUGGAGAAAAAGCCUUUGAGUAUGAGGGCGGCGAUGAUGAUGGUAAUCGAGGGGCUCAGCUAUAAUUUGAGGUUUUACUUGCAGCCGCCACUGAUUGCAAACACAUCUACUUCUUGCCUUCAUAUGGGACGUUCCUAUGGUAUUUGUUGCCCUCAACUUAUCAUCUCUUUAUGUACUGGGAUUUCUUCUUGUCUCUAUUUCAAUUGUUAAUUUUCUUUUUUAUUUUGUCCUAAUUCAUUGUGUUUGAACAUGUUAUAUCCCAAUAUUAACUAUAUUUAGAUUGGCAUUUAAGCUAACCUUUCCCCAAUUAUUUGUUAGUCUAUUCUCAAUGUCAACUUUUCUACUAAGUCUAACCAUGUGCUUGUGACUUUUCAUUUGUUUUUGCCUAUACAAGUUUUGACAGCAUGAUUAAGUUCCCCAAUUCUGCUAUGAUAAAGUAAGUUCUUCUUGAUCUUUUUGUUGCUAAAGUUAUGCCUUUUACUAAAAUGCAUCUGGAAUGCUGAUUGGUAGCUGGAAAAUUAUCAGAAUGGACUGCAUGAAUUAAAGAGCAUGAGCAGAUGAGAAUAUGUAUGUGACUUGCCAAUGUUGUUUGCUUGCUAGCUUUUCAGAUGUAGCUUGGUAAGUUUAGUGGGGUUAUUAUUCCUGUUUUCCUUUUGAAAAAAAGAAAAGAAAAAGGCAUUGCUUAAACAUCUACAUGAACUAUUGUCUUCGGUUUACUGAGUUUGGUGCUUUCCAUAUUUCUAUUUAGCUUUCUCUCUCAGUUUGUUAGGCUCUAACAUGAUUUAGAUUAAUCUUAUAUUACAUGUCAACUGGUUGGGAAUUAUCCAUUUGUUAGUUUGGCCAACUACUUGCUUCCUAUUUACUACUAUCUCCUCUGAUUUCUUUGAAUAAAGGUCCUUUGCAUUGUUUCACGGCUCAUGAAUGUUUUGCUGCCUUGUGAAUUCAUUAGUAUAUUUGAGGUCCCUUUGGACUUAUGUAUAAUGAUCUUUAUAUAUAUGGGGUAGCUUAUAAUAGAAUUCAUUCUGACACAUAUCAACGUAUAUUUUAUCAAGUGUUAUUGCAGCGGCGAUCUAUUGUGAACAAACAGAGUUGGCCAAAGCGUAAGAUGAUUCACACAACUGAAAAAUGAAAAUGGAGGUGUAAUCCCAGACCGUUGCAAAUUGUU